CUCAAGGUGGGGAGGGGUCCGGGUCCACGUCCCUCCAGCCAGGGCCGGGAUUCCGCGGGGCGCGCUCCUGGCGGCCAGGCCAGACCCACCAGCUGGACGCUGAGGCGCCUUAACCCCCUCCUGUCCGGCUCGUCCACCCACCCACAGGUAGCAGGAUGGGGAAACCUGGAAUUCGAGCCCAGCCCUGGCCUGAAUGCUUCCCAAAGGUCCUUUGAUUUAAUCCUUGCAAACACUCAGUGGGAAGGAUGCCAUGGUCUCCAUUUGACAGAUGAAGACACCAAAGCUCCGAGAGGACAAGUCGCUGUCUAGGGUAAUUUAGCCGCCACCAGGUUCCAAAUGCUACCAUGAUUCCAACUGGACUUCCCUGGGAAGACGACCCUACCAAUGUGUCCUGGACCCCUACCUCCCCAGAUCUCUGCUACACUAAGGAAAGAGAGAGACAGGCUGGGAUUAUGGAUCAACCUGUCAAUGCCUAUAUUCAGUGGGGAAGUAAUUACAGAAGCCAGACCUUCCACCUUCUGCAUCCCAUAAUGAUCCUGGGUCCAUGCUCCCAAAAGGAUAAAGAAUAAAGGAUAAAGGUAGCCAUCAAGGGAGGGGACUGGAUAUGGAGUUCUGGUGGUGGGAAUUGUGUUGAAGUAUACCCCUUCUGUCCUAUAAUCUUGUCAAUGUUUCCACUUUGUAAAUAAAAAUUUUUAAAAA
Molecule: long non-coding RNA, 699 nt
Organism: Erinaceus europaeus (western European hedgehog)
Lineage: Eukaryota; Metazoa; Chordata; Mammalia; Eulipotyphla; Erinaceidae
Exons: 3
Source: RefSeq, a predicted model, not a curated record